AUGAGUGGCGAACGGGUGAGUAACACGUGAGUAACCUGCCCUCUUCUUUGGGAUAACGCCCGGAAACGGGUGCUAAUACUGGAUAUUCACUGAUCUUCGCAUGGGGGUUGGUGGGAAGGUUUUUUCUGGUGGGGGAUGGGCUCGCGGCCUAUCAGCUUGUUGGUGGGGUGAUGGCCUACCAAGGCUUUGACGGGUAGCCGGCCUGAGAGGGUGACCGGUCACAUUGGGACUGAGAUACGGCCCAG
This 245-nucleotide ribosomal RNA is filed under the name uncultured bacterium. RNAcentral's name for it is "partial 16S ribosomal RNA". It matches the Rfam family "Bacterial small subunit ribosomal RNA", at positions 91 to 334 of the family's 1533-position model. The record is from RNAcentral.